AGAAAGAGGAUUAUUUCCCUUAUACUUCAUAGCACAGUCCUCAUCCAAGGAAGCCGGAGCAGGAACUCAAGCAGGAACCUGACGGCAGGAACUGAAGCAGAGGCCACAGAGGAAUGCUGACUUGUUUCUUGACUUGCUGAGCCUGCCUUCUUAUACGUCCAGGACCACCAGCCCAGGGAACAACCACUCACAAUGGGCAGGGUCCUCCCACAUCAAUCAUCAGUCAAGAAGAUGCCUCACAGGCUUGCCCACUGCCAGUCUGGUGGGGCAUUUCUCAGCUGAGGUCUCCUCUUCCCCAGUGACUCUAUCUGUGCCAAGUUGACAUAAAACUGAGCAGCACACCUUUGGGUGAGGAUGCAUCUGGUUGUUUCUAAGUUUGCAUUUUAGUUUUUUAAUUAAAAUUUUUAUUAUUUAAUGUAUGUGUGUGUGUUUGUCAGGGUACACAUAUGGAAGUCAGAGAAUAACUUAUAGGGGGAGUCAGCUCUUCCUUCUGAUGUAUGGGUGCUGAGGAUCAAAUUCAGGUCGUCAGCUUUAGCAUCAACCGCCUUUAUCCUCUGAGUCAUCUCACUGGCACAUUUUAUAGUUUACAUGUUUUCCCAGUUAGCAUACAAAUGUGCCAGUUUAAUAACUGAAUGUAACAAAUAACUCUUGGAAGGAGAUGGCACUGCUUCACAAAAAGGGCUGAUGGCAUUUUAGGCUACAAGGAAGGAGUAUUUAGUGUGCCUUAUAGUACACAUACUGGGUAACAGUAAUUAGCAGGUUGCAUAGAAUAAUAGAUAGUGAACAUUUAUCAUACACUUGCCACUUUCAGAUACCAUGCAUGGACACACCUUGGGCUCACUCUAUUACACUAACUCAUUCGCAGAUUCUCUUUUAGUUGUUUUCUAACAGCACCAUAAAGGUAGACACUAGAAUAGUCUGGAGAGGCAGCUGGAGUUUAGAGAAGUUAAGGACACUUGUUAAGAUAAAGCCAAUACUGCAACAAACUGUUAAUUUUUUAAUCGUUUAAAAUCCCAUUGGCAGCAACAUUGGGACUGAGGGCGGGUAUAGUUUCCACUCUGUAUACUGACGGGGCAUCUGCUGGUCUCUAAUGUUGCUCUAGGUAUUCCUACCGAGUCAGUGGUCAGGAUAAUUGAGACAGCAGAGGCCAGUGUGGUGUUUAUGGCUCGGCCCUGGAAGUGAUGUAAUUUGCAUCCACCUUCCAGUGUCUGGAAAUGAGCCAUGUGGUCACUUCUACCUGCAAGGGAAACUAGAAAGAGUCUGCUUGUGGCCCUGGAAGGAAAAAACAAACAAACAAAUAAGCAUUCUCAAGCAUUCGAUGAUUCUUUGCAAUGUGAGUGCUCUUCCUAGAGUAAAUGACAGCCAGGCUGAGUGUCCUGUCCCGAAGCCGACAGCUUAACUGCAGAGCCACACAGCCACACUAAGAGACGUGUUUAUAGGUGGUGCCACCCUGGCACCUGCUUCUUUGCCACUUCAAAGCCUACUCCACCACUUCCACUCCUACUGCCCCUUAGCUGGUCUCACUUUCCUCAGUAUUUCAUUUGAGAAUUAAGACUUGCCUGUUUUACUUUUUGUGUGUGAAUAUUUUGCCUGCAUACAUUUAUGGGUAAUUACGUUCGUGCCUGUUGGAUCCUCUGGAACUGGGGGAUGGCUGUGAUCCACCAUGUGGGUGCUGGGAAUUGAACCCAGGUCCUCUGUGGGUGCUGGGAACUGAACCUGGAUCCUCUGCAAGAGCAGCAAGUGCUCUCCAGUCCCCUUUAUUCAGUGUUUCAGGAUCGGCUCAGUCUCCUUCAGAUCUGCUGCAGCUCCACCUCUGCUAACCUCUACUUCACAGCUCUGCAAGCAUGUCCUUUAAGCAUGCAAAUAUGCUUAUAUAACUUCCUGGCGUACAAGUUCCAGUAAAUCCCAUGAAUAAAGCUCGGCAUGCUUGGCUCACGCAGGCUCUGAGGAAUGCACACCUGCCUGCCCUUCUACUGGUCAGUUUUGUAAACCCCAUACAGUUCUCUGCACACCUCACUCUCUUCUUUACCUUCCUGGAUUUGACUGGACUCCAUCUCCUGCUUCUCCACUUGUCUGGAUUGUAUACAUCCUUCAAGAGCCACCAAGUGUUACCUGUCCCCGGAGGCCUUCCCUGACCACGUCCAGCACUAGCUGUCCCUUUGCCUCAGUUAGGGAUUAGCCGCAGCUAACAGCCUCGGCUGCAGCUGCUGACUAGCUUUAAGAAAAGCCAGUCAGUGGGGAGGAUUAGGUGCUCAUAAAGUUUUUGGAAGGGUGGAAUACUAGGCAGGCUAUAAGCAAUUUCCAAAAGUAAUUCCUAAAUCCACACUGCAGAAUUUGCCCACCAAGGGCAUAUACCUCAGCCACAAGUGGAACUCUAGAAAAUGUGGAAGAUACUGAAGGUGGAGGUUCACACUGCCUCAGCGUGGUACCCAGAAGCUGUGGGCAAAACACCCGCAAGACCGCUACUGAAAAGUCAAAAGCCUGGACAAUGGGCUCCGUCUCUCACUGGUUCACUAACAAAACUAGUGGCUCUUAAAGUCCCCUCCCCCACCAAAAGCUUCCCGAAAAGCUCUCAACAUCUCUCCCAUUGUGAUAACCAAGUCCUGUGAUUUUUGUUCCAUUCUGCAGCAUAAACUCAGUAUCACCACUGUGCACACCUUUCACAUCACAAACCUCAUUACCACUCUCCAAGCUUCCAGUAACCAACACUUCCUUUAGAAAAAGUACAGAUUCCUUGGCUUAACAUUCACGUUCUUCUUCUUCUUCCUGUCCUCCACAGCUUCUGUUCAUAGCGCCGUCUGCCUGUUUGUCCAGCUUCCUAACCCUGUGCAUCUUGGAGCUCUGAUGUAAAUGCCUUCAGCCCGGGGAUGGGUACCGCUACCUGCCAUUUAACCCUGGUCCCCGGUCCUCCACAUCAGAUGGCAGAUCUUUUCCUACUGAAGAUCUACAGCGUAGGCUUUUACAGUGUUGUGAAGGGCCUUGGGGCUCCAUGGAAAUGUUUCUAGGACCUCUAGAGGGAGUAGAGGAAGACCAGAAGGGAGGUGCUGAACUCCCUGUCACUUCAACCAGCACAGCUCUGCUCAGCAGGAGUCAUCUGUUAUGUUUCCUUUAAUUUUUAUGACAAACGUUUAUAUUUCCAUGGAAAAGAGAAAAAAUACUUUUAAAUAGAAGUUUGGAUGAUGUGUGUGUGUGUGUGUGUAUGUGUGUACACAUGUUUGUAUAGAUGUACACACCUACACAUGCACAUGUGAAGGCCAGUUGUCUGAUGUCCUCGUUUAUCAUUCUCUACACUAUUUUUUUGAGGGAGGGUCUCUCACUAAACCUGGAGUCUGCUGUUUCAGCAAGUCCCAGAAUCCACCUGUCUUCUCCCUCGCCACAGUGCUGAGCCUAUAGGUACCCAUCUCCAGGCCCAGAUUUUACCUGCGUGCUAGCAAUGCAAACGUGGUCCUGAUCCUUUACCCACUAAGCCAUCUCCCUAGCCCCUGGAACCUUUUUUCAUGGUACUGGGAGUUGAACCCCUGGCCUAAUAAUGUGUGAUAGGCAACCACUCUCCUGCUAAGCUACAGUGCCAACCCGAAAGUGAGUUUCAAAGGAGUUUGCUGGCAUAGCACUCACCUUGUGCAUGAAGUUUAAUUGUGUGCAUGUGUCUACCUCUUGGUCUGGCUUGAAUCACUUGUGUAUAAUCAGAUGGAGACAGUCAAUAUGCAUGCGUUCAUUUGGAUUGAAGAGAUAAGGCUUAAGGAAAACAAUGGACAUCAAUUCCACAUAAAGCCUUCUUUUUUUUUUUUUUUUAAAGUUUCCCCAUAACAGCUGAAGUGGCUUCCAGAGGCUAUUACAAGACUGUGAGACCUAAUACAUGCCAGCAAAUGUCAGUUUGCACCAAGCAGUGAGAGACUCCCUGAAGGGAGGGUCAAGACCAGGAAGGACACAGCUCUCACAGACCCUGAAGGCCCCUUUGACCUUGCUGCCCCCUCAUCUCCUGCUGUAAUUAGAAGCAGGCCACACUGAGACUCCAGAUGGCCCAGUCUCAGGAUUUUUGGAGACUGUAAUAUCAGCAGGAUUUCUUUUUUAACUUGGAAAACAAAUUGGUCUGAUGCCUUUAUAUUGAAUUGCUUGUUGUCUGCCUCUGACUAAAAGUCCCCUGAGGCCAUUUUAAAAAGGCAGCCCUAGAACUGCUGUGUCUGGUCCUUGAGCCAAUACAGCUCCUGAAGCCAGGUUGGCAUCUUCUGGGCAAAGAUUUGCUGGGGCAGCACAUUUAGAGGAGAAUGUACAACUUUUGCUCCUUAGUAGUAAAUGGGAACUCACUGGAAGGCAGUGGUGAAUUGUGGGAGCUCACUGGAAGGCAGUGGUGAAUUGUGGGAGCUCACUGGAAGGCAGUGGUGAAUUGUUGGGCCCUGUUAGCUGUCUCUGUAGGUGGACAGAGGGUUUCUUUGCUUGCCCAUUUCACAUCAACUUUGACUGUAGUUUGAGUCUUCCCUCUUGGAAAUUGAGUGAACAUGAAUUUCAUUCCCAGCACAACUAGCUCUCUAAUUUCCCUGUCUUGGGACCUUCCACGGGCAUUUUGGAACAUACAGGAGGGGGAAACUAAGGUAAUCUUAGGAUAGCCACAGUUCUAAGAGAAUUUUGACACAGCAAAUUUAGAAACAAUUUGUUUGCUCACUUAAGUGGAACAAAUAUCAAUUUUUCUGGAAAUAUUUUCUAAGAUUAGUAAGUAUUAGAUGGACCUUGAUAAUUUAGUUUUAUUAAUGUUAUUUCAAGUACUUAUUGAAUGCCUGGCUAGUGUCUUCAGGGAAGAAUGGUUGGCCCAAUUAAUUCAUUGAAUUUUUUUUUACCUUCCUAUUUCCAGAGAUGGUGGUUUAAUUAAAGGCUAAUGGCAUCAUAUUUUUUGUUAAUAGUGAAAAGUGUUUGAUUCCAUUACUUAGUGUGUUGGAUUAAGGAAACAAACUCAUCAAAUCAACUUAGAAGAACUUACCUUUAUAUCAAGACAGAAUAUCCUUUUUAAUCAGCCUUGGUGGUAAAAGAUUGGACAGAAGAGGAAAGUAUGAAUCACACUGUAGAUAUUGGCUGACAUUGACAUUCAUGUUAAAUGCAUGGCUUCCAUGCACAUUGUAGAUCUGUGAUGAUUAGAAUAGUUUUUCUGUAGCUUACUGUGUCUACUGUCGCUUAGCUGGUUUUUAUACAGAUGCUCCAUUCUGUCUUUGCUUCCUAAUCCUGGCUGUUGCCCUGAUGCCUUUGACCUGGCAGCUGUGGGAUGGGCUUUCGUUUGCGCUCAUCCAUUAUCCUAUCCCUAAAGAUCCCUUUUCAAAGUCUGGAAAAAUCAUUAGGUAUUCCAUUGCUUACAUUUGAUGCUUCAUUAACAAAAUAGUUAUUUAAAAUUUCUGACUUAGUGAAUAAGAAUUUAUUCAAUUGCCCAUGUCUUAAGUUAAUAGGAUUAGAAAUCCAGAUAGUAUAUGUAAUAAACAUAUGGCCCCUUUUCAUGACUCGUCACUCGAGAUAUGUAAAUGGUGUCACCAUAGAAGCAGCAGAAGGAAAUAUGAGAAUAUGUGAUAUAAUUACGUUUCAGAAAAGAAAUAGCCAAUUAUGUUAUCCAAGAUCAGCUCCAAAAGAAUCAAGAAACUUCUUGUGUGUGGCUAAGGAUAAAACAGUGCUUUAUUUUGUAUGCUCAAACAAAUAAAUUCCAAAUGCAAAGUCCAGGAUUAGAAAGGACUGUCAUAAGAGAUGCAGAAAUGCUUAGCACAGACACAAUCUUGGAUGCAAAUGUCACAGUUCCAAAAACCGCCUGGUAGCAUUGGGCAGCCUUUGAAACUUGGUUCAUUUGCUGGGCUUGUCCAUAACCUCCCCAUUCUGUCAGAGGCUUAACACUGGUUCUCUUUUGGUUCAUUUGGGGGAGACGAAGAAAUGCAAAGGUUGUUGCUCAUCCAUCAUGUGUACAAGGCAGCAUCUGUUCUCUGCUAAUGUUUUGCCUGCAUUUCUGCUUUCUGAGUACGUUAGGUAACCAUAGAAAUGAACUUUCUGGUAACCCGAAGGUGCAAAUAGAUACAUUGCUUAGACUAAUAUCAGCUGAGGUGCAUCAAAUGUGAAAAUUCCAACCCUUCCCUAUGGUAGGUAACUAGUUAGGAUCCUGAUACCCACCUCCCAAUGCUACUAGUUCUGCCUGGCCUACCUGCUGUGCUAGACUCUCUAGACCUUCUGUAAUGCAGCAACUUAAGGGAUAACAUCUAAUACAUGAGAGGCUCCGGUAUGCGGCUGGAGCAUUCAUGAUUUUUGCUAGCACUCUGCGUGUUACCAAAUUUUCUGGAAAGUUGACUUCCAAAAAAAGAGUAGAACAUUUCUACCCCUCAAUUUGGAGCAAUAUAGCAUCACCUGGUUACGGACUGACUGGAUAGGGAUGGCCUUACUGAAAAUAAGAUCUAUUUAUGGGGAGAGCAUUUCCAGAGCUAUGCAUGGGUUGGUGUAGGAAAAUCACAUGAAUAUACCAUGCAGCAACCUGGCACUAGGAACAGCAAAACUGCCCGCACCCUGGGCCCUCUCGAUGGAGAGAGGUGGACUUAAGUCAAGGACAAUCAUUGUGAAACAAGUCGGAAAGCUGAGAUUCUGGUUAGUUAUGGGAUGACUUUGGACAUGACCAUGCAGAAGCUGUAGACAGCACCCCGGAGGGCUUUCUCCAUCAUAUCCACAUGAACAAAACCCAGUGGGUAGCUGGGAACCCCAGUGCCCACUGACUGUGUGUAGGUUUUAUCUCCUGGGGCAGUGCUGGGUAAAGAGAGUGGGAAAUGGCCCUGGAAAGAUGAGGGAGGACUCCAGCCCACCAUCUAAAUGUCGUGUGAAGUUUUUCAAAAUAGUUCAUAUGAAAUGCUCUCCACUUCAUAAGGAAGACAUGUUAAAGAUUUAACCUGCUGCUAUCAUUUUUGGAUUAAGAAAUGUAUCCUUUUGUUUUGUUAACUCACUUCCUUCUUUGUGGCUACGUUUAAUAACAAACCAAAGGCAGAUCUGUCCAGUUGAUUUUCACAACUGACCAGGUUUUCACCAAGUUCCAGAAACCAAUAGAUGUCAGCCCUCCUGGGAUUGAGUCAGGUGAUCAUUUAUUUGCGGUAAGAUCCAGGAGAGUCCUUGUGAAGUCUCCAGUGUCAAGCUACAUCUGUGUGUGUAAAACACACCACUGUCUGAGAGAGGCCACCGUUACUUCUGACAAAACUGACUCAUCUCCCCUCGGUGCAGAUUGUCUGCUACAAUCUGGCUCGUAGAACAAGAAGUGGCUUACAGGCCCCGAAGGCAUGGAGCUGCUGAGCCACUGCUGCCUCCUCGUGCCCUCCUCCCCUCCCCCUCUCUUCCCCUUCUCUUCCCCUCCUCCUCCUCUCCUCCUCCUCGCCUUUGUUCUUUCUGGCCACACUUCCGCAGUGCUGACCACACAGCGGCCUUGACUGGUGUUGGACUACCCUGCCUGCUGUUGGCCUCCAGGUUCCCCCAAGUUACCGUAGCCGCAGGAACUCCUUGGGCAACUUUGCUCUUUGACAAGGCAUCAAAUGAUUUGUGUUCAGGGUGAUCUCAGCCCUCCUUGGCACCGCACUCAGGCAAUUAUAAUGUCUUCGCUUCCUAGGGAUGUAAUUGAAUGCAAAGAACAUACAAACAGCCUUGUGUUUGGAGAAGUGUUUCUUCCAAACAGAGGUGGAGAGAAAGUGAGUUUCCAAGUUUCCUAAACACUGAGGGUCCCCCACCCUCUGCUCCGAGCUCUUUGUCUCAAUUGUCUAAGCAGAAAACAGACAAUGGGAAAAUUACAAGUCAUUAUAAGCCAUUGAUUGUGAAGGACUACUAGAGUGCCGAGCUAAAACAGCGAUGAACUGGGAUGCCUAGCUUGGCCUCAAGGAGCUCGUAGUCUGGUAGGGAAGGUACUUACCCCUGGGUACACAGAGGAUAGAGAUGGGGAUGUUUCACUGUUAGAGGGAGAGUGGAGACAGAAAAGGUUUCUUAGAAGGGGCGACAUCUGAGAUGGACUUUGAAGGCUAAAUAUUAAGCAGAAGGCUGAGCAGAAGCGUAGGGCAUGGGAAACUGAGUGGUGAGUCCAAAAAGGCCUGGUUGGGAGGAUGGGUGUAGGAGGUAAGGAGACCAUAACGGGGACCUAGUGCUGGGGGCUUGACCUUCAUCAUCCAAAGGGGAACCCACCACUGUAUGGUUUAAACCAGUUUGACCUUUUCAAAGCUAUCAGCCUGAUGUGUGUAUAAGGGCAAGCGAGGUAUUCCCAGUCCAAACAUGGCAUUGGACCUUAGCUUACACUAAAAAGCUUUCUAACAUGCUCUAAUUUAAACCCGUAACAGAAUUAAUUGUAUAUCAGCUGGGAGACAGAAGCCACAUCCGUUAUUUUAAUGCAGAGAAUUUAACAUGAAUUGUUAAGCAAACACUGAGGAACUGAAGGGCAAACUGUAGUAAAUAUCAUGGUUCUAGUUGCCAGAGGAAAUAUCACCAGCCCUGAGGGUUGGGGAGACAUGGGAAGAGGUCAGAAUUAUUAAUACCUGCACUCUUUAGCGGUGGUCACUCUGCAGGUUUAGAAUAAAUAACCGUUCCUGAAGUAGAAGCCAUCGUGGCCAGGGUGGAAAAGAGGGCCUAUGGAGGCCCAGGCAGACAGCACGACCAGAGAGCCAACAGGAAGAAAGCGGGCCUUUUCUCCCUCCCCAACCUUUCUUCUCUGCUCAGCACUCCAUGGCACAGAGCCUGCUGGGGAGUUGGCAGGCCAGACUCCCAGUGCAGAACCACAAAGCAGAAUGAGAGAUUAGAGCUAAGCAUCCAGCAAAUGCCUGCUCCCAGGGUGUGUGGCUCUGCCGGGAGGAAAUGGGCUGGGUGUCCCAGAAACUGAGUCUCCUAAAACAUGAGCCGGCAAUAAAUCACCUUUUGGACUUACUUUCCUUCUCAGCAUGGGAGCUACAGUUGUGGCCUCUGACUUUCUUUUUCUCCAGUGUCUUAGGAGCCUUUUUUUUUUACGUGAAUUCAUUGAUUUUAUUUUGAGACAGAGCCACACCCUGCGGCCCAGGUUGACUUGAAGUCCACAGCCAUCCUCCUGCCCCAGCCUCCUCUGAGUGCUGGGGUUAUAGGCAUGAGCCACUAAACCUGACUUCUUAGGGCCUGUUCAUCAGGGCUCCUGAUCUCCCCUGUGCCAAGCCCAUGCCCCGCAGUUUACAGGACUCCAGGAACAGGAUGGGAUCCCGCACAGGGCUGUCUCUAGCCGGGCAGUGCCAUCUGUGUAAGGCUUCGUUCAGCCACCAGAGGGCAGUGUUCUCAGCCCAGCUCGGCCUGGUGGGAGCAUGAGUGUAGUCACUAGACGCAGGUUCAAAUCCAGCUCGGAUAUGAAUUAAACAACCGCAGGAAGUGGUUUAAUCUCUGAAGGGCAGCUCCUCGUUUGCAAAGUAAUACCGCUGUCUGUUUGCACCACACAAAUACUUAAGAGGUGUUCAGUAGGUCACCUCUUCCCUUAUUUGAUGUCAGUAACAUUCAGGACCAAAUGUCACGGAAAUGUCCUUAUGCAGUUCUCCUUCUCUCCAGGCAUCUAGAACAUUGGGCACACCAACAACAAUUUUAAAAAUAUAUGUAUAAUGGCUGGAAGUUGUUUGUAAGGAGGAAGGCCGUCUUCAGUGUAUGUAGACACCAGUGGCCGGAUCCCCUGUGAGAACAAUAGCUAUUCACCGUGCUUCAAAGCUGGCACCAGCAGCCAGUGUUCCUGAGUAAUUCCCACACAAACAAAUCUCCAGCAAACUUUCCAUGACCGUGUGGCUUGGUGUCAACAGCUUGUAGCAAGUGCUUUCUACGUGUAUACCCUCGCUGUCCCUGUAGAUGUGAGGGUUUAAAGGGAAUCUUGUAAACACCGUUUAAGAAUUAAUGAUUUUUACAAAACAAAACAGAAAACAAAUUCUCAUCAACCCUGCCCUCCAGGUUGUGGUUUGCGGCGACAGAGGACAUCUGGGAAGCGGUCCCUUCCACCGGAGCUGGGGACAGAAGAUGUAGCAUUGGAACUAUCCUUUAAAGCCACCCAGGCCGUGAAAGGCUGGCCGAGGCAUGCAGGCUGCCAGAGGUCCUGGCUCUUGGGCCAAUGAAUAAUGACAGGCUUUUCAUUUUUAAGUAGUAGUUAGAAUUUGAUAGCACUUAAUAUUUGCAGUGACCUUUACAGCUAUUGUUAUUAGCUAUUCCUCCCGGAGGCUCUUUGAACUAAAGGACACAACUAUUUUUACUCAGCACCCCCCCCUCCACUCCCUCUCCUCCUGCUUCUGCUGCAAGCCUGGUGGGUUCUCUGAAUGCAGCACUGACAUUUGCCUAGAGGUAAGCUUCAUUUUCUUGUGGGCAAUGGUCUCAGUCAUAAAGUGUAUUUUCAAGUCAAAAUAAUAUUGAAUACAGUGCAUUUAAAUAUACUCAGUGUAAAUCAGUUCAUAUUGCUUCUCUGCUUAAAAUCCUGCUGUAGCUGACUAUUUCACUCAGGGAGCAGCCUAGGUCUCGGGUUUGAAAGGCCCGCAGUCCCUCCUCCUAACACGGCCCUAGUCAGUCACCUCUUUGCCACAACUCCCUGCAGGCUCGUGGCCCAGACGUUUGCGCUGGAAGAUUCCUGGGCCUGACGUGCUCUUCCUCCAGGUAUGGCUGCCUCCUUUGCCCCUUGGAGGUCUUCGCUUCGGUGACACCUUCUCCAUGAGGUCUCUCCUGCUGACCCAGUUUCCAACUGUAGCUGUCAAGUCGUCCCUGCCUCCCAGGAUGCUACACAUCGUUUCCCCGGUUAUUGUGUUUCCCGGUUCUUUUCUCUCUCCCUCACCUGACAUAAGGCAGGGAUCUUUGGUGGUGUAAUUCACUACUGCACACUGAGCAUCUAGACUAACAAAUGCAUACAAAGGCAUCUAAUAAAUUUUUGUCAAGUGAGCAGAUACUAGUUCUUUAACGGUUGUUGUCACGAGGCUUAACCUGACGGCUGGAAUUUUCUCAGUGUGUGUGCUUCCUAUUAAUUCUCCUUAGUGAAGGCUCCUAGGCUAGUUUUCUACCCCCCCCUACCCCACCCCCAGACAAACAAUUCAUUCUGAUAGCAAUUCUGUUCAGCUAAACGAAAGCCACCAGUUCCUAGGGUUGGAAGGAAGUGGGAAAUCUCAGUGGCACAGUACAGAAAAUGCCUUAACAAGGGUUCCAGCCCUCCCUGACCCCAGCGCCAUGUGGCAGGGUUGCGUCAGGCCUCUGAAGGGAGGUGGGCAUGAGCAGGGCUUGAAGGAGCAAGAUCUACUGAUGUGCAUGCUUCCACAGGCGCCCACGUCAUUACCUGAGGAGCACCUUAGCCUCUUAACGGAGGUUAAGACUUCCAUUACCUUUUCAAUGAACAAAAGGUAAAGAGAAGCUCCCUUGAUGCCGUAAAGGUGAAAACUGCACGUAUCUGUGGGUGAGAGGAUACAUACUGGGAAUGUUGUUAGGAUUUAUGCUGGUUUAGUAAAGUGGUGGCUGUAGGUUUUCCUCUAAUAUGACGACUCACUAGCCCUGUGUAGUGGGCUAGGUUUCCAGUACCAGGCAUGGCUUCCCUCUUUCUGAUCAGGCCUGAAGUCCAAUUAGAAGACUGUUAGCUACCAACAAGGUAUUCAUGCCACUACUGAACCUUUGGGAUUAUUGUGCCAUGCUGGUCAUUGCUGUGGUUCAUAGGCACCAUAGCUGGGUUAGGACUGUUGGUUGCUUCCUUCCCUUGGAAGCUUGCAUGCUGCCUUCUGAUACCAUGAAAGCUAGCCCUCAAGGAGAGCCUUUCAGGUCAGAUCCAGCACAGGACUCUGGGCCCUGUCCAAAGUGCAUGGUGUCUUUGGCAAUAGGGACUUACCUUCCACUUCUGGGAGGCAACCAAGGACAACAGCCAUAGCCAACAAUGUUCUAGGAGUCUCUUGGACAACCCUGAGCAGCAACAACUCAAAAGGAAGUCUCUCAUGUCUGCUGUUGGGCUCCAUAAAAGAAAACCACAACCCAUUAAAAUGCAGAGAACAAGAGAUCACCCGGUGCUCAGCCCCAACUGAUAUAUCUACAACACAAUUCCCACACCUAAGGCUCAGGGGUCAUUGUUUAAAAGGAGGCAGAAGGAUGAAAGAAGUCAGAGGACUAAGAAAUUUGAUGUGAGAUUGUGUUUCCUAGACAUGUCUAAGAGGCUACACCCAGGAAGUCUCAGCAACAUGGCUGCCUAAACAAGACAUGAACAAAGGACAUGGUGAUGUGGAAGGUGGAAUGUUUGCAGGGCUUCAACCCAAAACAAAGAACCACAAAUAAUGGGCCCCUGGAAACUCCUGCUCUCCUCCUAUCUGUAUGGCUUUGUCUCCCAGGAGUACUUCGUGUAAGUAGCAGCCCAUAGCUUUUGUGAGAAGAUCUUGAAGGUCCAUCCAUGUUUUCAGCAUAUGCCAGCAUUUCUUUCCUUUUUAAGGUUGAACAGUAUUCCAUCAUACAUGGACACCAUAUUUUGUUUAUCCAUUUAUCUGCCUCUGGCCACUUGGCUUGCUUCCAUAGCCAUAAGGUUUUGUGAUGAUUAGUGAGCUAAGGCAUGUAAAAGAGUUUGGCAUAUAGUAGGCACUGAAUAAAUAUUGGCUGACAUUAUUGUUAA
Long non-coding RNA from Peromyscus californicus insignis, 12580 nucleotides. RefSeq lists it as uncharacterized. NCBI's taxonomy places the organism in Eukaryota, Metazoa, Chordata, Mammalia, Rodentia, Cricetidae. The record is from RefSeq and is a predicted model, not a curated record. The transcript has 3 exons.